AGAGAGAGACAUGCGCGCAUAUCAAUAAGCGGAGGAAAAGAAACUAACUAGGAUUCCCUCAGUAACGGCGAGUGAGGCGGGAAGAGCUCAAAUUUCGAAAUCUUCAAGGUUCUACCUUGACGAAUUGUAGUUUAAAGAAGUGUUUUCUGUUGGAGUUUUGGUAAAAGUUCUUUGGAAUAGGACAUCAUAGAGGGUGAGAAUCCCGUAUUUGACCAUUAUUUCCAGCUUUGUGAUACACUUUCAAAGAGUCGGAUUGUUUGGGAAUGCAGUCCAAAAUGGGUGGUAAAUUUCAUCUAAAGCUAAAUAUUGGCGAGAGACCGAUAGCGAACAAGUACCGUGAGGAAAGAUGAAAAGAACUUUGAAAAGAGAGUUAAACAGUACGUGAAAUUGUCAAAAGGGAAGCGUUUGACACCAGUGUUGUUUUCUCGAAAAUCAAUUAAAAAAGGCAGGAUUUUGUGUUGUAUUGACUUUAUCAGCUUUCUGCACUCUUUUCUUGUCUUUUUUAAUGCACUUUUCGUUUAACGAGUCAACAUCAAUUUCUUUUGUUGUAAAAGGGUCAUUGGAAGGUGGCUUUCUUUUCGGAGAAAGUGUUUAUAGCCUUUGGCCUCUGCAAUCGGAGAGAUUGAGGUCUGCAGCGUAGAUCCUUCGGGGUUAGAUACAUUUGUGCUAAGUUAUAGCCUUUCAUAGACAACUUGUUGACUAUGAUCAGUCAUGUAGCUUACUCGCUUAUGCUAUUUUACCUACGCUUAGGAUGUUGAUGUGAUACUGCGAGCA
RNAcentral lists this ribosomal RNA (774 nucleotides) under uncultured Neocallimastigales. RNAcentral describes it as "partial large subunit ribosomal RNA". It matches the Rfam family "Eukaryotic large subunit ribosomal RNA", at positions 23 to 634 of the family's 3401-position model. Lineage: Eukaryota; Fungi; Neocallimastigomycota; Neocallimastigomycetes; Neocallimastigales. The record is from RNAcentral.